Molecule: ribosomal RNA, 253 nt
Filed under: uncultured bacterium
Lineage: Bacteria
Description: partial 16S ribosomal RNA
Rfam family: Bacterial small subunit ribosomal RNA
Source: RNAcentral
UACAGAGGGUGCAAGCGUUAAUCGGAAUUACUGGGCGUAAAGCGCGCGUAGGUGGUUCGUUAAGUUGAAUGUGAAAUCCCCGGGCUCAACCUGGGAACUGCAUGCAAAACUGGCAAGCUAGAGUAUGGUAGAGGGUGGUGGAAUUUCCUGUGUAGCGGUGAAAUGCGUAGAUAUAGGAAGGAACACCAGUGGCGAAGGCGACCACCUGGACUGAUACUGACACUGAGGUGCGAAAGCGUGGGGAGCAAACAGG